GGUCGCGUAGCCGAGCGGUCUAAGGCGCUGGUUUAAGGCACCGGAGGCGUGGGUUCGCAUCCCACCGCUGCCA
This is a non-coding RNA of Uloborus diversus, 73 nucleotides long. The record is from the annotation of a RefSeq genome assembly. Lineage: Eukaryota; Metazoa; Arthropoda; Arachnida; Araneae; Uloboridae.